This 1429-nucleotide ribosomal RNA is filed under the name Klebsiella sp. UIWRF0499. RNAcentral describes it as "bacterial SSU rRNA". It matches the Rfam family "Bacterial small subunit ribosomal RNA". The record is from RNAcentral. Lineage: Bacteria; Pseudomonadati; Pseudomonadota; Gammaproteobacteria; Enterobacterales; Enterobacteriaceae.
CUGCUCAGAUUGAACGCUGGCGGCAGGCCUUAACACAUGCAAGUCGAGCGGUAGCACAGAGAGCUUGCUCUCGGGUGACGAGCGGCGGACGGGUGAGUAAUGUCUGGGAAACUGCCUGAUGGAGGGGGAUAACUACUGGAAACGGUAGCUAAUACCGCAUAAUGUCGCAAGACCAAAGUGGGGGACCUUCGGGCCUCAUGCCAUCAGAUGUGCCCAGAUGGGAUUAGCUAGUAGGUGGGGUAACGGCUCACCUAGGCGACGAUCCCUAGCUGGUCUGAGAGGAUGACCAGCCACACUGGAACUGAGACACGGUCCAGACUCCUACGGGAGGCAGCAGUGGGGAAUAUUGCACAAUGGGCGCAAGCCUGAUGCAGCCAUGCCGCGUGUGUGAAGAAGGCCUUCGGGUUGUAAAGCACUUUCAGCGGGGAGGAAGGCGGUGAGGUUAAUAACCUCACCGAUUGACGUUACCCGCAGAAGAAGCACCGGCUAACUCCGUGCCAGCAGCCGCGGUAAUACGGAGGGUGCAAGCGUUAAUCGGAAUUACUGGGCGUAAAGCGCACGCAGGCGGUCUGUCAAGUCGGAUGUGAAAUCCCCGGGCUCAACCUGGGAACUGCAUUCGAAACUGGCAGGCUAGAGUCUUGUAGAGGGGGGUAGAAUUCCAGGUGUAGCGGUGAAAUGCGUAGAGAUCUGGAGGAAUACCGGUGGCGAAGGCGGCCCCCUGGACAAAGACUGACGCUCAGGUGCGAAAGCGUGGGGAGCAAACAGGAUUAGAUACCCUGGUAGUCCACGCCGUAAACGAUGUCGAUUUGGAGGUUGUGCCCUUGAGGCGUGGCUUCCGGAGCUAACGCGUUAAAUCGACCGCCUGGGGAGUACGGCCGCAAGGUUAAAACUCAAAUGAAUUGACGGGGGCCCGCACAAGCGGUGGAGCAUGUGGUUUAAUUCGAUGCAACGCGAAGAACCUUACCUGGUCUUGACAUCCACAGAACUUUCCAGAGAUGGAUUGGUGCCUUCGGGAACUGUGAGACAGGUGCUGCAUGGCUGUCGUCAGCUCGUGUUGUGAAAUGUUGGGUUAAGUCCCGCAACGAGCGCAACCCUUAUCCUUUGUUGCCAGCGGUUAGGCCGGGAACUCAAAGGAGACUGCCACUGAUAAACUGGAGGAAGGUGGGGAUGACGUCAAGUCAUCAUGGCCCUUACGACCAGGGCUACACACGUGCUACAAUGGCAUAUACAAAGAGAAGCGACCUCGCGAGAGCAAGCGGACCUCAUAAAGUAUGUCGUAGUCCGGAUUGGAGUCUGCAACUCGACUCCAUGAAGUCGGAAUCGCUAGUAAUCGUAGAUCAGAAGGCUACGGUGAAUACGUUCCCGGGCCUUGUACACCCCCUCAACGGCACACCAUGGGAGUGGGUUGCAAAAGAAGUAGGUAUGUUAA